This 369-nucleotide ribosomal RNA is filed under the name uncultured phototrophic eukaryote. RNAcentral describes it as "SSU rRNA". It matches the Rfam family "Bacterial small subunit ribosomal RNA", at positions 524 to 896 of the family's 1533-position model. The record is from RNAcentral.
UACGGGGGAUGCAAGCGUUAUCCGGAAUCAUUGGGCGUAAAGCGCCUGUAGGUUGUUUAAUAAGUCUGUUGUUAAAGACUAAGGCUCAACCUUAGAAAAGCAAUGGAAACUACUAGACUAGAGUAUGGCAGGGGUAGAGGGAAUUUCUAGUGUAGCGGUGAAAUGCGUAGAUAUUAGAAAGAACACCAGUGGCGAAAGCGCUCUACUGGACCAUUACUGACACUCAGAGGCGAAAGCUAGGGUAGCAAAAGGGAUUAGAUACCCCUGUAGUCCUAGCCGUAAACGAUGGAUACUAGAUGUUGUGUAUUAUUUACAGUAUCGUAGCUAACGCGUUAAGUAUCCCGCCUGGGGAGUACGCUCGCAAGGGUG